Long non-coding RNA from Mytilus californianus (California mussel), 944 nucleotides. RefSeq lists it as uncharacterized. Lineage: Eukaryota; Metazoa; Mollusca; Bivalvia; Mytilida; Mytilidae. The record is from RefSeq and is a predicted model, not a curated record. The transcript is spliced from 3 exons.
CUCCAAAGUGGUUAAUGUUCGAAAAUCUGAAGUUACGGUUAAAAAACUGAAAAUUUUAUUGUGAAAUUGACAAAAUGAGAUUAGGGGGGUAGGGCACUAAAAGAAAAAUUUGGACCAUUUUAAAGAGAUGUUGACGGGCAACGACUAUAAAGGUGUUGUAGAAGAGACAUUGGCGCAUCGUUUAAGAAAAUCUCCAGAGUUGUUUAUGUUCGAAAAUCUGAAGUUACGGUUAAAAAACUGAAAUUGUGAAAUUGACAAAAUGAGAUAAGGGGGUAGGCCAAUUUAAGUAAAUUUUGUACCAAUUUCAAGAGAUUGUGACGGGCAACGACUAUAUAGGUGUUGUAGAGGAGACAUUGGCGCAUCGUUUAGGAAAAUGUCCAGAGUGGUUUAUGUUCGAAAAUCUGAAGUUACGGUUAAAAAACUGAAAAUUUUAUUGUGAAAUUGACAAAAUGAGAUUAGGGGGGUAGGGCACUAAAAGAAAAAUUUGGACCAUUUUAAAGAGAUUGUGACGGGCAACGACUAUAUAGGUGUUGUAGAGGAGAUAUUGGCGCAUCGUUUAAGAAAAUCUCCAGAGUGGUUUAUGUUCGAAAAUCUGAAGUUACGGUUAAAAACUGAAAAUUUUAUUGUGAAAUUGACAAAAUGAGAUUAGGGGGGUAGGGCACUAAAAGAAAAAAUUGGACCAUUUUAAAGAGAUUGUGACGGGCAACGACUAUAUAGGUGUUGUAGAGGAGACAUUGGCGCAUCGUUUAAGAAAAUCUCUAGAGUGGUUUAUGUUCGAAAAUCUGAAGUAACGGUUGAAAAACUGAAAAUGUUUUUGUGAAAUUGACAAAAUGAGAUUAGGGGGUAGGGCACUAAAAGAAAAAUUUGGACCAUUUUAAAGAGAUUGUGACGGGCAACGACUAUAUAGGUGUUGUAGAGGAGACAUUGGCGCAUAGUUUAAGAAA